GCUUCAUCGCGGCGGUGGCCGGUCGCGCGGCUGUCGGCCGCGGACGGACGGGUUCGAAUCCGGCAGGAAGCG
This 72-nucleotide transfer RNA is filed under the name Burkholderia lata. RNAcentral's name for it is "tRNA-Asp". The record is from RNAcentral. Lineage: Bacteria; Pseudomonadati; Pseudomonadota; Betaproteobacteria; Burkholderiales; Burkholderiaceae.